UAGGGAAUAUUGGACAAUGGGCGCAAGCCUGAUCCAGCCAUGCCGCGUGAGUGAAGAAGGCCCUCGGGUUGUAAAGCUCUUUUGUCCGGAAAGAAAAGCAUCGGGUUAAUACCCCGGUGUUCUGACGGUACCGGAAGAAUAAGCACCGGCUAACUUCGUGCCAGCAGCCGCGGUAAUACGAAGGGUGCAAGCGUUACUCGGAAUUACUGGGCGUAAAGAGUGCGUAGGUGGUUCGUUAAGUCUGAUGUGACAGCCCUGGGCUCAACCUGGGAAUGGCAUUGGAAACUGGCGGACUGGAGUGCGGUAGAGGGUAGCGGAAUUCCCGGUGUAGCAGUUAAAUGCGUAGAGAUCGGGAGGAACAUCCGUGGCGAAGGCGGCUACCUGGACCAGCACUGACACUGAGGCACGAAAGCGUGGGG
RNAcentral lists this ribosomal RNA (419 nucleotides) under uncultured bacterium. RNAcentral's name for it is "bacterial SSU rRNA". It matches the Rfam family "Bacterial small subunit ribosomal RNA", at positions 355 to 766 of the family's 1533-position model. The record is from RNAcentral.